Molecule: transfer RNA, 87 nt
Filed under: Salmonella enterica subsp. enterica
Lineage: Bacteria; Pseudomonadati; Pseudomonadota; Gammaproteobacteria; Enterobacterales; Enterobacteriaceae
Description: tRNA-OTHER
Rfam family: tRNA
About the family: Transfer RNA (tRNA) molecules are approximately 80 nucleotides in length. Their secondary structure includes four short double-helical elements and three loops (D, anti-codon, and T loops). Further hydrogen bonds mediate the characteristic L-shaped molecular structure. tRNAs have two regions of fundamental functional importance: the anti-codon, which is responsible for specific mRNA codon recognition, and the 3' end, to which the tRNAs corresponding amino acid is attached (by aminoacyl-tRNA synthetases). tRNAs cope with the degeneracy of the genetic code in two manners: having more than one tRNA (with a specific anti-codon) for a particular amino acid; and 'wobble' base-pairing, i.e. permitting non-standard base-pairing at the 3rd anti-codon position.
Source: RNAcentral
GGUGGGGUUCCCGAGCGGCCAAGGGGAGCAGACUGCGCCAAAUCUGCCGUCAUCGACUUCGAAGGUUCGAAUCCUUCCCCACCACCA